AGACCCCCACCCUAAACCUAGCGCCGCCCCCAAAUCCUCCACCUUCUCCGGUGGCUGCGCCGUCUCCUAACGACCCCAAAUUAACACCACCAGAUCACCUCAACCCCCUCUUCUCUAAUCCACAACCCUUUCAUUUCGAAUCAGAUUAGAACCCUUCGAAUCUGGAUUUGAAUGAACGAACCCUAAAAUCCCAAACCCCAAAAUCGAGUACACGGUUGAAGGAUUGAGGUCGUAAUCGACCUUAGUUGUGUGUUCUCAGUCGAGAACACUCGAUUAAGGUCUAUUCCGGCUUCAAAAUCAAAAGAAUCGGAGGUCUGAGUUCAAGGCAGGGUUCAAUCAGAGGUAUUUCCCAAUCCAUUGAUAUGUGAAGUGAAAGAGCAAGAGCUUUACUUGAUUAAAUGAGAAACUAUGCCUUAUUAGCUUGUAAAUGUAGCCUUGUUUCAUUUUAGAAGAGCAAUCAGACUACUAGUUUCCUUGUCAUACUUAUUUCUUCCUGCUUCAUGUUGAAUGUGUUUCUAACAUUGUUAAGAAUAAUGAACUCCAGCAGAAUAGGGUGAAUGUAGUCAAGGUUUAUUUUGUAUAUGGUUCUCAAAGCUGCUGUUGAACUUGCUGUCGUUAAUAUAGGAAUAUUUAAGAUUGA
Nicotiana attenuata is the source of this 640-nucleotide long non-coding RNA. RefSeq lists it as uncharacterized. The transcript has 2 exons. Lineage: Eukaryota; Viridiplantae; Streptophyta; Magnoliopsida; Solanales; Solanaceae. The record is from RefSeq and is a predicted model, not a curated record.